This 253-nucleotide ribosomal RNA is filed under the name uncultured bacterium. RNAcentral's name for it is "partial 16S ribosomal RNA". It matches the Rfam family "Bacterial small subunit ribosomal RNA", at positions 524 to 776 of the family's 1533-position model. The record is from RNAcentral.
UACGUAGGGCGCAAGCGUUAUCCGGAAUUAUUGGGCGUAAAGAGCUCGUAGGCGGUUUGUCGCGUCUGCCGUGAAAGUCCGGGGCUCAACUCCGGAUCUGCGGUGGGUACGGGCAGGCUAGAGUGAUGUAGGGGAGACUGGAAUUCCUGGUGUAGCGGUGAAAUGCGCAGAUAUCAGGAGGAACACCGAUGGUGAAGGCAGGUCUCUGGGCAUUAACUGACGCUGAGGAGCGAAAGCAUGGGGAGCGAACAGG